GAUUAACGCUGGCGGCGUGCAUAACACAUGCAAGUCGAACGAUGAAACUCAUUAGAUUUCUUCGGAAUGAAAACGACGGGCUUAGUGGUGAACGGGUGAGUAACGCCUGAUUAACCUGGCUUACACAAGGGGAUAGCCUCUGGAUACGGAGUAAAAUAUUCUAUGAAACGAGUCAAUCGUAUGAUAAUCUGGUCAAAAUGUUUAGUGGUGUAAGAUGGACUUUCGUCUGAUUAGCUAGUUGGUGGGAUAAAAGCUCAACAAGGCAACGAGCAGUAGCAGGGAUGAGAGAGGGUACGGCCCCCUUGGGGCUGAGACACGGCGCAGACUCCUACGAGAGGCAGCAGGGGGGAAGUUUCAACAAUGGGGGAAACCCUGAGGUAGCGGCGCCGCGAGAUUGAGAAGGCCUGCGGGUUGUAAAAAUCUUUUGUAUAGGAAGAAAAUGACAGUACUAUACGAAUAAGGUCCGGCUAACUACGUG
This 478-nucleotide ribosomal RNA is filed under the name uncultured bacterium. RNAcentral describes it as "partial 16S ribosomal RNA". It matches the Rfam family "Bacterial small subunit ribosomal RNA", at positions 28 to 507 of the family's 1533-position model. The record is from RNAcentral.